RNAcentral lists this ribosomal RNA (530 nucleotides) under uncultured bacterium. RNAcentral's name for it is "bacterial SSU rRNA". It matches the Rfam family "Bacterial small subunit ribosomal RNA", at positions 846 to 1380 of the family's 1533-position model. The record is from RNAcentral.
AACGAGCUAACGCGUGAAGUUGACCGCCUGGGAGUACGGCCGACAAGGUUAAAACUCAAAGGAAUUGACGGGGACCCGCACAAGCGGUGGAUGAUGUGGUUUAAUUCGAUGCAACGCGAAAAACCUUACCCACCUUUGACAUGUACGGAAUCCUUUAGAGAUAGAGGAGUGCUCGAAAGAGAGCCGUAACACAGGUGCUGCAUGGCUGUCGUCAGCUCGUGUCGUGAGAUGUUGGGUUAAGUCCCGCAACGAGCGCAACCCUUGCCAUUAGUUGCUACGAAAGGGCACUCUAAUGGGACUGCCGGUGACAAACCGGAGGAAGGUGGGGAUGACGUCAAGUCCUCAUGGCCCUUAUAGGUGGGGCUACACACGUCAUACAAUGGCUGGUACAAAGGGUUGCCAACCCGCGAGGGGGAGCCAAUCCCACAAAGCCAGUCGUAGUCCGGAUCGCAGUCUGCAACUCGACUGCGUGAAGUCGGAAUCGCUAGUAAUCGUGGAUCAGAAUGUCACGGUGAAUACGUUCCCGGGUC